AUACAAAUAUAUUCUGAACAGCAGCAAGAGGCGCUUAAAUCAAGAGUUUUGGAGAAGUAAAAAAGAAAUAUUCUAAAUUUAAACCAAAUAAACUAGAAAAACGGCAAAAAGAUAGAAUCUAACAUAUGGACCAGGAAAGUUUAAAGUUCAAAAUAAACUGUCUUUACUAUCAAACACUGUGAAUAUAAAUAAUCGUGUAAUUAAUGUAUUUACCUGAUUUAUCCAGCAACUAGAAAGAAGAGAGAUAAACACGUAGUUGGGAAUUUGGUUUCGGGUGGUAUACACAAUAUAUUAGGCUAUAUAAUUUGCAAACUCUUCAUAUCCCUCUUUUCCCUUUAACUUCCUACAUAGGAUUUCCCUUGUCCUUAGUUUUUCUGAAUGCAUAUGUACAGGCUGCCAUAACUCUCCUUCAGUGACACAGAGAACAUGUCAUUCAGUAAAUCGACCAAUCAAGAAUAGUACUAUUUCUAACACCAGUCCCUUACCUUCUAUGAAGCAACAGGGAUCACAGACCUGGAAGGAGUACUAGAGUUUCAAGUAUCAAAAAACCAGGGAUUUUAUUCCAUCUUCAUAACUCAUCAACUAAGGAACUUUGAUAAGAUACUUGGUCAUCAUGAAUCUAUUUAUUCAUGUGCAACCAUUAUUAUGCUAAUCUCUCCCACAUCUAUGCCUCAAGACUGCAAAUACAAUUUGUGAUAACACAAGUGAAAUCUCAAAAAAAUUUUUGAAUAUUCCAUAAAAGUAUAGGUUAGCAACAUCAAUGUGGUAGAAAUUGUAUCUCCAAAAAGACAAGACUCAAAAAAUAAAAGAAAUAUUCAGCGAUGAAUAAUAUUGGCUUUUAAUUUGUAUAUUAAUUAGCAAGAUUUCUAGUUAGCCUCACCUAAAGUGUUUUUAAACUCACAGGCAAUGACCAAACUGAAUGUGUUCAACUUACUUCUGGAGCCUGAAGAGUUCCUCACUGCAGAGAAGGAGUCAGCACUCUGCCUGGCUGCUGCAGAAGACGGACAGGGUGAAAGCAUCUCCAAAGUUGAUUUUGAGGAUGGCGACAGAAGUAAGGGUGCUCAGCUACUACAUAUCUUCCCAAACACCUGGCAGAAUGGUUACAGGGACUCUUCAGAGGAGACAAGAACAACAACAACAAAAAAGCAUAUCAAAAUAUGCUAAAGAUGUAUCUUUGAAAAAUAUGGUUGCUGUUAACUGUGUGAUCAUUUUCAAUCUCUAUCAGGAAUAUCACUAAAUGGAACUUAAAUAUUCAUAGAUUUGCAUAAUAAGGCUUUCAAUGGAAUCUGUAAUAUGCUCUGAUUCUAAUAAAUAUGUCAGUAGUCUGCUUUUCACUUUGGGAAGUUUUCUUAUCUCAUAAUUGAAAAUAGUUUAAACAGAUGAACAUCAAAGUUCAAUUUUCUUUAUAUUUCAGUGAAUUCAACUUGAAGGCUAUUGUUAAAUACGAAUCAUCCCUACUAAGUACCAGAAACCCUACAAGGGAGAUACAGCAAUGAAUGAAUGAAUCUCAUUAGUCUUGCCCUUAUGGAGUUAAACAGGGCUUCCCUUGUAGAUCAGCUGGUAAAGAAUCCACCUGCAAUACAGGAGACCCUGGCUCAAUUCCUGGGUCGGGAAGAUCUGCUGGAGAAGGGAUAGGCUACCCAC
RNAcentral lists this long non-coding RNA (1644 nucleotides) under Capra hircus (goat). RNAcentral's name for it is "lncRNA (ENSCHIG00010014723.1)". Lineage: Eukaryota; Metazoa; Chordata; Mammalia; Artiodactyla; Bovidae. The record is from RNAcentral.